RNAcentral lists this ribosomal RNA (253 nucleotides) under uncultured bacterium. Its description in RNAcentral is "partial 16S ribosomal RNA". It matches the Rfam family "Bacterial small subunit ribosomal RNA", at positions 524 to 776 of the family's 1533-position model. The record is from RNAcentral.
GACGGAGGGUGCUAGCGUUUUUCGGAAUCACUGGGCGUAAAGGGCGCGUAGGCGGCCUGGAAAGUCAGAUGUGAAAGCCCGGGGCUCAACCCCGGAAUUGCAUUUGAGACUCCCUGGCUGGAGGUCGAGAGAGGAGAGUGGAAUACCCAGUGUAGAGGUGAAAUUCGUAGAUAUUGGGAGGAACACCAGUGGCGAAGGCGGCGACCUGGCACGAUACUGACGCUGAGGCGCGAAAGCGUGGGGAGCAAACAGG